Molecule: ribosomal RNA, 178 nt
Filed under: uncultured bacterium
Lineage: Bacteria
Description: partial 16S ribosomal RNA
Rfam family: Bacterial small subunit ribosomal RNA
Source: RNAcentral
UGAGGAAUAUUGGUCAAUGGGCGGGAGCCUGAACCAGCCAAGCCGCGUGAGGGAGGAAGGCCCUACGGGUCGUAAACCUCUUUUGCCGGGGAACAAAAGCGGGUAUGCAUACCCGUCUGAGUGUACCCGGAGAAAAAGCAUCGGCUAACUCCGUGCCAGCAGCCGCGUAUCUGUCUGU